Molecule: non-coding RNA, 454 nt
Organism: Microcebus murinus (gray mouse lemur)
Lineage: Eukaryota; Metazoa; Chordata; Mammalia; Primates; Cheirogaleidae
Source: RefSeq, a predicted model, not a curated record
AGCAGCUCCGCAGGCCCGGCCGGCCCCACACCCGCCGGCUCCGGGCCGACCCCCGACCCUAAAUGGCUCGUCUGAGGAGGGGGAGAGAUACAGAAGGAUGGUCCAAAUCAAUCUUCCCCAGCUUUCCUAAGAAGAUCAGAGAAGAGAAGAUUGCUUCAUUAGUGGCUGCUUGUAGAGACUAGAAGACCACACUCUGCAGUGGAUCUGUCAAAAGGAGGUGCUGACACCUCAGAUUGCGGAAGGAAAAAUCAGCAUGGAUGCACUUGAACUUCCUGGUCACGUUAUGCAGCUACAUUAUCUCUUCUGCUGGCUCCUAAGCAGAACUGUGCCUAAGUCAUGCCACACAGAGGGAUUUCCAUCUUAACUUCCAAAGUCCUGUGGAAAAGGGGAUUCGCUGCUUUCCUUGAAAAUCUAUUCGUUCUUCAAGAAUUUAUUUGAUUGACAUUCUAAAUAA